Podarcis muralis (Common wall lizard) is the source of this 7302-nucleotide non-coding RNA. The record is from RefSeq and is a predicted model, not a curated record. NCBI's taxonomy places the organism in Eukaryota, Metazoa, Chordata, Lepidosauria, Squamata, Lacertidae.
AAGGUUCCUCUCCAUCCCAACUAGCCUGUGAUAAGUCUUGGAAAGGGAACUCCAACUCUCUCCCGCCUCUAAAUUGAGAAGUAAGGCGAGUGGAUUGGGGGCGCGGAGGCUCUGGUCCCAUAAGGGACCUUGUUGACUUGGGCUUGUGACCCCCCCCUCCAGGAGAGGGUUUCCGCAGUGCGUGGUGGCUUCCAGGAACCCACCGUACGCGCGACCAAGACGCCCUAUGCGCGGAGGGGCGUCUUGCUGCUGCUAGCGGCCGGCGUGUCUCCCCUGCUGGAGGCAAGGAGAAGAUUCCUCGGUCCCUGUAAAAAAAAAGUGCGACGGGACGCACCCAGCAGACGGUGUGGGUUGAUGCAAACUUCCCCCCGAAAAAGGGACAGGAUGGCCGAGGAUCCCCACUGCCUUAGCAUGGAGCAAUAAGCCCAAAGGCCACUGUUAAGGAGCUGGGGAAAGGUGAGGGUCCGGAGUGCCUAUCCGUCGAGCCUCGUCCCCUCGGCGCCCGAAUUUCGUUCCUUUCCGAGCCCGGCGCCUCCUUCCCUCGCGCGCUCGGAAAGCAUUUAACAACAAUUACGCCUUAAUCAGCUGGAAUGUUGGCCACAAAUGACGCUAUUAAACAUCAAAGGGAUGCCUCCGACUUUACCUUUUAGCCAUAAGAGGAUUAAUUUCUCUAAUUAGAGGGGAUAAAUAUGUGCAUAAAUACAUAUCUCUCUUCUCACUCCUUUCUCCUUAAUCUGACGGAUUCCUAUCGAUGGGAGGGGAGGAGAGAGUGAGGCAGGGGGCGCGCCGGGGUGUUCCUCGACAUCAUCGCCCGCAUCUUUAAUUCUUAAAAAAAGAAAAGAAAAACCCGACAUGAUAAUGGGAUGGGGGAGAAGAGGGGCUGACCAGAAGCCCCCGCCCCAAAGGAGCAAAUCCGGAGGGUCGCAUCAGUUCACCGAAGUCCCUCGCUGAAGGCUGCUCAACACCGGCAGAUAUUACUUUUCUGUGUAUUUGGGAGGCAGAACAAAAGCAAGCAACUUCCAACCCCUUCCAAAUGAAACCUGGAAGUGGGGGCAGACUUGUUUGCUUUUGUUGGGAUUUAGGAUCCGAUUUACUGACCCCCCCUUCCUCCCCGCACUCCGAAGCUCAAGGCUGCGUUUAAUCUCCCCCAAUAAAAUCCGCCUGACCUUGAUUCUAACCUGUAUGAAUACCUCAUUUACCUAAUGACUUUGUGUCACGUAGGCAGGAGGUCAGUUUCCUUUUUAACCUUUCCCAUUGCUGCAGUAAGCAUUCUGGGAUAAUCGAUGGCUCUUUGAAUAAUCGAUGCACACUUUAUGAUCCCUGACAAACUCCGUGGACGGGCACCUCGUUUCAGGAAAGCAAAGCUUGCCUUCUCGGAACAACAGAGGCGAAUUGUGCCUCGUGCAUCUGCGCAGGAGGCUGGCGCCUAGAGGACUAGCGCCUUAACUCCCGUGUUUUGUACCUCGGCACAAUAUUGUCCAGGAGUAGGAUGCACGGCGUUAUUGUGUUUUGUUUUUUUUAUAAAACAAAAAAACAAAACAAAAACCCACCAACACACACACACGGUCUGUUUCCUCUCUCAGUAAACAAAGCCCGUGAGAAGAAACAUUUUUUAUUUGGUCCUCACAGGUUACACUGAAGAGAUUUUGGGUUGGGGGCCAGAUCUCUAUUGAGAUUUCAAAAGGAAGCGAUUCCACACUCUUCCAACCUUCCUUUCCUUCUUUCUAGGAACAGGCGCAACGAGACCAUCCGCUCACUUGGGCAAGUCUCUCUCUCUCCCUCUCUUUCUCUGCCCUUUCCCUUCUUUAUUUACUCAGCGAUUAAAGUACAAAGUCCCUCCUCCCCCCCGGCAAGGCAAAGGUGCUUUAGUGCCUCGUCGCGGCGCCCCACCUUCCUAAUGACUCCGGAUGGCAGGACUGUGUCCUCAGAUAAACACGCGCGCGGGGGAGGCGGGGAAACCCUGCCGUGAACUUUUCCCUUUCGCCAGCCGGGCUGCGGGGUCUCCUCUCUCUCUCUCACGAGGUAGUUCUUGCCCGUCUUUUAAAAGUUUCCUCCACUCCCGUUAAGGAGGAACGGGAGAAACACGACCCUAUCUAACGCUAGCGAGCAGAAAGAAGCGAAGCGGGUGGGUGGGAAGCGAGACCCCCCCCAAUCCCUCCCAACCACAUUUACUCUUUUUUUGCAAACAAAACAAGUCAGCAGCAGCGCUCAAUGAUGUCUGGGAGCUCUCACAUUUGCUGCUAUCUGCUGGUGUUAGUCAGAACUGAGAAUCGUUGCAACCCUGUUACCUCUGUAGGAUAAUUAAUACAGAUUCGGGGAUUCUUCUUUCUUCACUACCUAUAAACAUAUGCUUCGUUGUCCUCCGCAGUUAAGUUAUUCAGGGGUCCCUCCACUCCCCCCCCCCCCGCGCCACAGCCCAGCCCGGUAUUCCAUCAAAUUCCAUCAAAAUUUCGACCUGAGACUUUCCCCGCCACAUAUUAGAGAAGAGCAGUUCAGGGAUGCGGAGGCAGGAGGGAGAGCGCAACAACUUUUGAUGGGCUUAGAAAAAAAAAUCGUUUCAGAUUCCUCUAUAGAAAUCUGGGAUCAAGAAGCUAAGUCAAAUGUAAGCCAUUUUCCAAGGUGUUUAAAUAAUGUUACAUUGCCACAUCAUAGCCGGCUCUCUGGGAAAUGGGAAAGGCAGACAUCUCUCUCUCUCUCUCUCUCUCUCUCUCUCUCUCUCUCUCUCUCUCUCUCUCUCUCUCUCUCUCUGUGGGUGUGGGUGGGUGCCUGCCCCCAAACAUAUUUUCUCCGAAGUCUGCUGCACUGAUUUCAGUGGGGCUUGCAUCCACAUAUGUGGACUCGGAAUGCAGCCUAGCCCAGCCGUCCUGAGAGCUUCCUGGAAAAGCUUUCCUAUUGAUUUAAGUGAGAAUUACUUCCAUGUAAUGUGUACAAAAUCAAGGUGUAAUCUCUUCAGGUGCAAUCCUGCAGGCUGUAAGCCUGUUUAAAUCACAUUGACUUCAGGGAGGUUUCAGCAGUACUACAGCAGCCUUGUGAGUAUCACGUGUAUUAUCAGAGCCACUGAAGAAGCAAGACAGCGCCAUUCUAAGAGACACCUGGCCAGAUGUCUACUGAGCAGAGCUAGCAUGUUGAUUGGGGCUUUCCUAAGUGCCUUAGACCCGUGGCCUGAGAGAAGAGAUUAUAUGACAAUCAACUUUUCUUCACACUCAGCAUUUCCUUCUCUUUCACCUAAAUGCCAGGGACAUAUUUAAUGGGAAACUUAUUUCCAAUAUUAUAUCCAAUACUGAGUGGGACUGCACAGAAGAUACAUAACAAAACCUGCAGAACAAUGAGCUUCUGCAAAGAAAGGGAGACUGUGACUUGUCUAAGAACUCCCAGUGAAUCCUUGGCUCUGGUGUCAAAUCUUAACAGUUUAUCUAUCUACUAGCCCACAGAGAACAAUGCCACUCAUAUUGGAUUCUGAAGAUGCCAGAUGCUUAUACUGGCAUUCAAUCCCUGGUAAGUCCUCUAUGUAUACAAUUUUAAAUGGGGGUUAUUCUUAGGUCAGUGUGUGUACGAUUGCAACCUUAGUCAAGUUUUAGUCAGGAGAAAACUAGCACAUUGGUAAGACUUCUAUCUUUGGGGAACAUUCUAUUUCUUGGGGGGUGGGCUAGGAUUCAUACAUGCAACCCACCUUCUACACAUCCAUAAGAUAAAGUGAUACAGUCCAGGAAAGACCUUACCACUUGGGUCUACUGGAACAUGGUUAUUUCUUUUUAAAUAGUGCCAGACAAAUAGGGCAAACAAAAUGUUGGAUGAACAUUUACAAUCUUACACUGAACUCUGCAAAAAAACUCCCACCGAUGUUAGCAUAUGAAGUCUGCAGCCGAAAACUGUUACACACUUUGCAUGGCUAAGUGCUAUAUAAAUGGUAAUAAGCUCAUUCAUCAUUAUGUAUGAAAUAAUGGUAACACAUUUGAUAUAAAAUGACAUAUGCAAACUCCUUAUGAUAUCUAUCAAUGCAUUUGCAAUAAUUACCAUGCUAAUGUCAUUGUUUAUCAUUGCUCUGAUCGAAGUGCCUAGAGAAGUAUACAUGGGCAUAAGCAGUGUGGAAACAAAAACAUCACAAGUGUUUGUCCUAUAUUCUCACCUCUAGGCUAUAUGGCAAUCAUAAGACAACAUAUCUAGGCUUGUGUCAUACUGGAUAAUACUGUUCCUUGGGUGACUGAGGACACUUAAAUCUAACCCUUUGAUUCACAGCAGCUGAGCUGUUGAGCAGCAUGAUCUUGGCUAAAGUGUAAAGUUUGCUGAACCACACAUAAAUAGAUCUAUAUUUAUAGAAAUACUUAAUAUUCAGUAUUUUUUAAUCCCAUUAAUUCCAAAGGGAGAUUUAAGCCCACACCUGAAUGGGAUUUUAGGUGCCACCCUAUACAUGUCUACUAAGAAGCCCCACAGAGUUCAACGGGACUUAUUCCUUAAAAAAAAAAAAAGUUCAGAAUUACAUUUAACUUCCCAGGGCAGAUAAAAGCACAAUUAAAACAGUUUUUUUUUAAAAAAAACACCUCACAACAAAAUCAAUAAUCUUUGCAAUACAUUGCAGGGAGGACACCAAAAACAAUUCUUAAUUUGUCAAAGGUCAAGUUCAAGAGGUGUGUCUUCAACAACAACAACAACAGCUGUAAAGAUAUGGUGCCAGAUGCAACUCUGUUGAGAAGGUGUUCCAUAUUUUUGGGGUCAUCACCAAGGAGACCCUCUCAUGAGUUGCUGCUCCUGAACCUCUGGGAAUUUAUUGAUUAGCCUUCCUGAAAGUAGCCUUUUGGUUCACAAAUCUCAGACAAAUUAAGCAUUUCUGACUCCAUCUCUUCCACUGAAAACACAUGUUUAACUCACCAAAAUUAAUGGAACUUUAGAAUGUUUGUCUUCAGCUGCAUCAUACCCACAAUGGAGUAGUUAUCAUUAAAAUAGUGUGUGGAUCCCACAGCAAAUUCUGGUAACCGAGGUAUUGUGCAUCCUAAUUGUUUUGGCCACUGUCUUGACCUACAAGCUCCGUGAAAAAUAUUCAUGUAGAAUUUCAUGUGGAAAGUGUUCAUUAUUACGUUUUAGCUGUUUAUUUAUUGUAUAUUCUGUGUUAUGGUUUAUGUUCUUUGCAUGUUUGCUAAGAGACAGAUUAUUCUGAUACUUUCUCUCUCUCUCUCUCUCUCUCUCUCUCUCUCUCUCUCACACACACACACACACACACACACACACACACACACACUUUGCCUUGUUGCACCAGGUAAAUGGAAACAAAUCAAUCCUCUCCUGAUAUUGGAUGGGUUGCAAACUUUGGGAAGACAAUGAACUCUUUCACUUCUAGAACAAGAAAACUGUUCAUAAUGACAUGGAAUCUACCACAUACAUCCAAGCUUUGAGCACAAAGUACGUUAUAUACCCACAUCAGGGAAACUCAGAUAACUUUGCCAAAGCAAAAUUCCCAAUCAAUACUUGGGAAUGUAUAGAAUAAUAUUUUUUUACCACCACCCUUCCCCAUUUUUUUUUUAUUUUUGCAUUUUUUGCACUCUUGGGAAGUUGUUGGGAAAUAAACCCCUCCUAAAACAUGCAUUUUGUGAUGGUAGGUAGAUGCUGAAAUCAAAUGGUUUCUCCUUAUUGAAACAUAUUGUAGGUCCCCACCCCCCUUGGCCAUCAUAGGUUAUACAUAUAGGAAUAAUAAUAAAGAUAUAUACGAGAUGGCAGAAAUAAUAGGAUAAUCAGGCCAAAAAGUGAUUUGGUUUAAUGAUGUGAGCCAUGAACAGAGCCUGAGGCACAGCUGAAUCUACCCUUGCAGCUGAAUCUUGACACAGUAAAGAAACGGUUGCAUGUCAGACUGGAGAUGGGGUGGAGUUAAUUUUUUUCCAUGCUUCCCCAUGGUAUAUCUUUUUCAAAAACUAAGUUAGGGUGGAGAGCUAUCACAUGAUAAAGAAAAGGUUGUAGCUUUCAGGGUAUUUUGUACUUGCAAAAGGACACACACACACACACACACACACGGCAGAAUUGAAAGAUAUGAGCACUCUCUGCCAUUGGCCAGGGGACCAAGGGCCACUGGGAAGCUGGUUCCUCUGUCUCCCAGGAAAAACAUCACAGCAAAGGGAGGGACCACAUUGCCUCCAUCCAUCUGCCAAAGGAGAAGUAGCUUCAGGAGUCUCACAUGCCCUCUCCUUGCCUGAAAGGAUGCUCUAGAAUAGAAGCAAAGGGAAAGGACACUCUGGCCCCAUCCAUUAAAUGAAGGAACAAUAGUCAAAAACACCAACAAGGAAGAUCAACCUGGUUUGAACUGGGCAUAAGGCUCACCACAUUGUUUUGAAGAACAGAUCUGCACUGUCUAUCUCUCCCCCCUCCCCCUCACUUGUGUAUCUUGUAUUUUUCCGUCUAUAAGGCUAAUGGCAGGGCCUCACACCCCCUCUCUUCUUCUUUUGUUUUUAUUGAUGUGAGCAGCUUUGAGCAGCUCCUGAAAAGCAGGAUAAAAACAUAGUAAAAAAGUACCAUACUAGUUUGGUAAGACAGCACAGAAAUCAAUUUGUUUGGGUCACAAAACAUCUAAUCUAAACCACAACAGUUCCCCAAGCUCACAGUUAAAGUAGACUUUGACAUUCUGUGUCCCACUGGACUGUUUUGAAACAGCAGGAGGUAUAAAUUAACUGUCUCUUCAAUUACAGAUUAUCAGCAUCAUCAUUUUGUAUUAUGCGGGUUAACCUAUUCAUGGUAAAUUUUGGAAAGGAUUCUCAUCAGGAUAGAAAUCUUAACAACACUUAGGUGAAAUAACUUCUGCUGGAAUCCACAUGUGAAUGCAAAUGUGUUUAAGAUCAAAAAUAUAUGUAAUCUAGCAAGCAGAGUCCUGAUGCAUCUAUUGGCUGAAAAAAGAGAGCAAAUUGAGCCAAUAGGGUUAUGGUUAGUUUCCCAUGUGCAUUAAUCUGCAAACAGAGGCAAAUAUAGAGACUUUCUGCCAAUAAGAACAAGUGCAAAAAAGGUAAGUGCAAAUUUGAGUUGACUAUUUAGCAGUCAAAAUAAUUGACAGACUGAAAUAAUUCAAAACAGUUUUAUGAAUGAGGUUAAGGCAAGAUAAUAUCAGGGGAACACAUCACCAAAAUCAAUAGCAAUUUGAGUGGGCAUACACUUGUAAAUUGUGGUUACAAUUUCUGUGUCACAAGAGAAAAAUAAAAUAUUGUAUAUGUGGUAAAUAAAGCAGCAUCAAUAUCUUUUGUAUUCUUUCCACUUCAGUCUGCUGUUGGAAACCUGCCAUCUGAUCAGUUUUUUUUUAAAAAAAUAAAUCAGUAAAAACUUUAAAGUUGA